GGUCGCACCAUGCGGCGUCUAUUUGUAGUCCAGAGCCGUGAGGUCUUGGCAUGAUCCAGUGUGAUGUGAGGAAGCAUGCGUUUGCCCCGUGCCCACAAUCGAUCAAAUUCACAGAUCAGUACCUCCUCUGCUUCAAGUAUGUCAGCAGGUCACAGAGUUGUACAACACAGCCUAUGCACACAGGAACUUGGCAGUAACAAACACAACAGUCAGCUGAGUGUUCUGUCAACGAGUAGCCAAGUUUUGUGCCCAAAUUACACUGAGUAAGUACUGUAAGUAUUUGGCUUGAAGGAGCACUAUAGAGACCAGGAUCCAGUUUCCAGUUGAUAGACCUCUCCCAAUCCAGAGAGUAAAGCAGGAUAGCGCUUACAAGAGCUAGUGAUUAUAAUCCAG
This is a non-coding RNA of Pelobates cultripes (western spadefoot toad), 393 nucleotides long. The record is from the annotation of a GenBank genome assembly. Lineage: Eukaryota; Metazoa; Chordata; Amphibia; Anura; Pelobatidae.